This 279-nucleotide long non-coding RNA is filed under the name Homo sapiens (human). RNAcentral's name for it is "non-protein coding lnc-TRIO-7:1". The record is from RNAcentral. Lineage: Eukaryota; Metazoa; Chordata; Mammalia; Primates; Hominidae.
AAAAAAAGAAAACCAACAACUCAUGAUUUGUUUUUGUACUGGAGACAAACAAAAGGCAUUCUACCAUUGAUCCAAGAACCAAUAAUGUAAAAAAUGCAGAGGUGGGCAGCUGAAAAUAUAGCCAGGAAUAGAAGCAGAGACAAAGAAAGAAAAACACAGCUAGUAAAACUAAAAGAAUAGCAAAAACUAUCACUAAAGGUGGCUUGUGAAGAAACACUAGUGCAUUUUGCAGAACUAAGCUAAAGGCAUUGACUUAAAGAGAGUUUUCCAACAUUCAAG